AGGUUCAAGACUGGCAAGAAUAGGUGGUUUUUCACCAAGCUCAGGUUUUGAGCUUUAUUGUCUUGUUUCUUUCUUUUGCUUAAAUUUUGUUCUGAAGAACUGGGUAUUACGUGAUUUUGAGACUGGUUUAGUAGUAAUUAUUAACUUGGAUAUUGUGAUGUUUUGAUGAACUUGUUCAGAUCUGUUGGGAAGAGUUAUUUCUCAGCAUAUACAAUCUUAGUAUCUUUUU
Molecule: unclassified non-coding RNA, 229 nt
Filed under: Hevea brasiliensis (rubber tree)
Lineage: Eukaryota; Viridiplantae; Streptophyta; Magnoliopsida; Malpighiales; Euphorbiaceae
Source: RNAcentral